GGCGAGAGUAGUACUAGGAUGGGUGACCCCCUGGGAAGUCCUCGUGUUGCAUCCC
This 55-nucleotide ribosomal RNA is filed under the name Ensifer meliloti. Lineage: Bacteria; Pseudomonadati; Pseudomonadota; Alphaproteobacteria; Hyphomicrobiales; Rhizobiaceae. The record is from RNAcentral.